RNAcentral lists this ribosomal RNA (726 nucleotides) under Triticum aestivum (bread wheat). Its description in RNAcentral is "partial small subunit ribosomal RNA". The record is from RNAcentral. Lineage: Eukaryota; Viridiplantae; Streptophyta; Magnoliopsida; Poales; Poaceae.
AUGAAAUGCACUCUCUACUGGGCAGAUGUUAGCCGAACAACUUUGGUUGAUUGGAAUAAAAGAUGUGUUAUAAUCGAAGGGAUAGCCCAAGGUCUACUGUAUCUCCACAAGCACUCUCGCUUGCGCAUCAUACACAGGGACCUUAAGGCCAGCAACAUUCUCUUGGACCAGGGCAUGAAUCCCAAAAUUUCUGAUUUUGGGCUAGCAAAAAUUUUCAGCUCCAAUAAUACUCAAGGGAGCACAAAGAGGGUGGUGGGAACAUAUGGUUAUAUGGCUCCGGAGUAUGCAUCUGAAGGCAUUUACUCGAUCAAAUCUGAUGUGUUCAGCUUUGGUGUCUUACUUCUCGAGAUCCUUAGCGGACAAAGGAAUUCUGGUUUCCAUCAGCACGAAGACUUUCUUAACCUCCUUGGAUAUUCAUGGCAGCUAUGGGAAGGAGGAAGAUGUUUUGAGCUUCUAGAAGCAUCAAUUGCCAAGGAGAUCCAUGCAGCGGAGGCUAGGAGGUACAUUAACAUUGCACUAAUGUGCGUACAAGAGCACGCAGAUGAUCGACCGACCAUGUCAAAUGUCGUUGCGAUGUUAAACAGCGAGAGUGUUAUUCUUCCAGAGCCUAAACAUCCAGCAUACUUCAGCCUAAGGGUAUCUAAAGUAGAUGAAUCGGGUAAUAAUGACUUAACCGUCUGCAGUAAUAACGAGGUAACCAUCACUGAGGAGCCAGAUGGCAGAUAG